Molecule: long non-coding RNA, 235 nt
Filed under: Malus domestica (apple)
Lineage: Eukaryota; Viridiplantae; Streptophyta; Magnoliopsida; Rosales; Rosaceae
Description: long non-coding RNA (MDOM_LNC007412)
Source: RNAcentral
UCAUGCAUUGUUGAUGAUAAUGAUUUGGUACUUGAUUACAUGAUUUUAUGACACUUAAUUUAAUAUUGUCAAUUUACUGUGAUAAGGUUAUGUCUCUACUGAGCUGUUGAAGUUCACCCCUCUAUUGUUAUGUAGGUUCACAAACUAAACAAUCUAAGAGGGUAGACGGGAUGAGAUCGGAUUAAGUGUGAGGAUAGAAUUUUGUAUUUCUUUAUUUUAGCCUUGUAAAGAAUUA